Long non-coding RNA from Mangifera indica (mango), 2402 nucleotides. RefSeq lists it as uncharacterized. The record is from RefSeq and is a predicted model, not a curated record. NCBI's taxonomy places the organism in Eukaryota, Viridiplantae, Streptophyta, Magnoliopsida, Sapindales, Anacardiaceae. The transcript has 2 exons.
AUUAAUCACCAUUGGAUCUGCUCACCGGAUAGGCAUUCUACACUGUUAGCAACGGUGAAAUAAAUACGUAGGUAAAAAUUUUGGGGAAAGUCUGUCAGACAACCGUGCGAUCAUCCCGGCCACCGUAUAGCGACUGAGAACGAUCCUCUACUGCGCCAGUGAUCGAUGAUCACGGACGCUGUUAAUCACGCUCUGAUCACGCGGUUAUAACUCAUCCACCAGACUUGAUAUCCUGUCUCCUUAGAACUCAAGGAUACAGAGGUACGAGCCUAUAGAACAGAUCCUGUUCAAGUAAGGUCGUGCUUGAAUGGCUUCUCAUAAUCCUAUAAAAAUAGCCCUUUAAAGAUGUAUGCCAGCGAUGUGGGACUUAUUUAUUUCUCAUUUGUCUUCCCUAUGGCGACAACGAUCGGUAACCCCACAUCAAUCUCUUUUUCUAAUUUGUCAAAUAGAAAGCUGUUGGGAGUUUAAAGGGAACGUGCGGCCCAGAUCGCAAGCUACAAUGAAAUGUCGUGAAGAUCUCAGUGUUCCCAGAACCCUAAGAGCUGAUGGAAGCUCUCCAUGAGAUGUGCUUAUUCAAAACUGGAGCUUGGAGGUUGCUCCACCAGGUCUUUACUUUUGUUUCAUGACAUUACAUUUUCAUCUGAAGUUUAUCCACUAAGUGAGCUUGAUUUUGAAUUUCCUUGUAUUAAUCCAUUUUACGUUAUGUUAUUAUUAUUAUUUUUUUAAUUUUAAUUUGAGUGAAUUGGGGAUAGCUUGUUGGUGCUUUGUGAUUAUUACUGAUUAAAAUUAUGGAGUUGGUUCUGUUUAGGAAAGUUUGGGAGUUAAUUUAUAGCACAAAAGACAUUCUCAGUUGGGACCAUUAAAUUUAGAGGUGUCCAGCUCAAGCUGGUGCAUAGUAUCCCUAAGGUGGGAUGAAGAAUAGUAAAUAAUAUCUUCAAUGAGAUAAACAGUAUAGUUAGGUUGACAAAUGAGCCAAUUUUGAACCCAGUUGUAAAGUAGGAGCUCUAGUUUGAAAUUGACUCAUUUGAACCCUACUGUAGAUUCGAUCUGAGUCAGUUUAGAUCAGAUUCACCCUACCAUUAAUUGGAUUUUCUUUGAAGCGUUAAAGCUAUUUUUCUUGAAGGGUCAACUUCCUGAUUCUUGAAGGAAGCCAAUGAUGAUAUUUUACCUUUAAGUUGGAUAACUUUAUUUUCUACAUUCUGUGUAGGAGUUAAUGGUUGGUCAUGUUCUCCCGUUGGUAUGUGCUUCAGCUUCAGAAAUUCCGGCUUUUCUAAUUUGGUUGACAUAAUACUUAAACUAUGAAGAUUUUGAUAGAGAGGAAGUUUCUAGAUGGUACAGGCACAAAAGACUUGUCAUGUAUUGAAGACUAAGAAAUCUUAGGAGCACACAUGGCAUGCCAUGUUUUGACUAUAGACACAUGGAUAAUGUGAUGGUGGAGUUGGAUUUCUCGUACCCGAGUGAAAGAAUAUGCCAGUGAUUGGAAAAUUGUUGCAGGAUAACAUCCAUGGCUUCCACUACUGACCAAGUAGCUUUCAUAUCAUGUGUCCCAAGAUGUAAAAUGGUGGAUGAAACUUCAAGAAACUCUGCGUACCUCUGCCUUCCCAAGCAGCCAUAGCAUAAAGCAAGUUUCUUUUUGCUUUAUGCUAUUCUGUUUCGCUGGAAAAAUGGUCCAAAAAUCUUUACAUAGCAUCAAUUUGUUGUGGACGGACUGUUUGCUAAUUUGUGGAGUGUAUAUGUGUUAUGUCUCCAGAUUUCAGGAGUUCAAAUUUUGAAAACUGAGGGCAAUUUCAUAUUUAAUUGCAGAAUGGGUAAAAUAGCUUUAUCAUGCAAGUUAAAAGGAAAUUCAGGAUUCACAUAUAGAAUCCGCAAACUUUGAAUGUAAAAAACAAAAGAAAAACAGAAAGAAUGAAAAAAUAAUAGCCGGAGAAAGGACAAAUGAUCUCUUCUCCAUCUUGUAAUCUUUUCAUUCAUGGUAAAACUUUCUCUAUCUUAUACUCCUGGUUUUCUCUUAUAUUGGGUUUCUUACCAGCAUAUGAUAUCAUGCUACUAAAUAAUGAAAGAAACAUGAUAAUGUAGUGGAGUUCUGGGUUAUCUAUUGUUAUUGUAUUGAUAUGAUGCUCACUCCUUUGUUGGUUGCAUUAUGGCAGGCUGUAGCAAGGACUCUCUAUAUGGUCAGAUUCAUCCUCAUAAUUGAAGUACAACGAUUGAUCAUGGUAAUUAGUUUGUUUAAGGGGAGAAUCUAAUAUUUGAAUUUUCAUAGUUCUAUAUAGACUAUGCAUUUAGUAAAUUGAAUACAGAUUUUCACCCUGUGAAUGAUGAUAUUAAACAAACAAUCUUUUUCUCUUCCAUUUGAUCAAUUCAAAGAUUCUGGGCAAAAGCAAUUUCCUUGAUAAUGUAGUCAA